UGGGGAAUUCUGGACAAUGGGCGCAAGCCUGAUCCAGCGAUGCCGCGUGCAGGAUGAAGGCCUUCGGGUUGUAAACUGCUUUUGUACGGAACGAAACGGUCUUUUCUAAUACAGAAGGCUAAUGACGGUACCGUAAGAAUAAGCACCGGCUAACUACGUGCCAGCAGCCGCGGUAAUACGUAGGGUGCGAGCGUUAAUCGGAAUUACUGGGCGUAAAGCGUGCGCAGGCGGUGAUGUAAGACAGAUGUGAAAUCCCCGGGCUCAACCUGGGACCUGCAUUUGUGACUGCAUCGCUGGAGUGCGGCAGAGGGGGAUGGAAUUCCGCGUGUAGCAGUGAAAUGCGUAGAUAUGCGGAGGAACACCGAUGGCGAAGGCAAUCCCCUGGGCCUGCACUGACGCUCAUGCACGAAAGCGUGGGGAGCAAACA
Molecule: ribosomal RNA, 427 nt
Filed under: uncultured bacterium
Lineage: Bacteria
Description: bacterial SSU rRNA
Rfam family: Bacterial small subunit ribosomal RNA
Source: RNAcentral